Molecule: ribosomal RNA, 578 nt
Filed under: uncultured Bacteroidota bacterium
Lineage: Bacteria; Pseudomonadati; Bacteroidota
Description: bacterial SSU rRNA
Rfam family: Bacterial small subunit ribosomal RNA
Source: RNAcentral
CUACGGGAGGCAGCAGUGAGGAAUAUUGAUCAAUGGGCGAGAGCCUGAACCAGCCAAGUAGCGUGCAGGAAGACGGCCCUAUGGGUUGUAAACUGCUUUUAUAAGGGAAUAAAGUGAGCCUCGUGAGGUUUUUUGCAUGUACCUUAUGAAUAAGGACCGGCUAAUUCCGUGCCAGCAGCCGCGGUAAUACGGAAGGUCCGGGCGUUAUCCGGAUUUAUUGGGUUUAAAGGGAGGGUAGGCCGGAGAUUAAGCGUGUUGUGAAAUGGAGAUGGUCAACGUUUGCACUGCAGCGCGAACUGGUUUCCUUGAGUACGCACAAAGUGGGCGGAAUUUGUGGUGUAGCGGUGAAAUGCUUAGAUAUCACGAAGAACUCCGAUUGCGAAGGCAGCUCACUGGAGCGCAACUGACGCUGAAGCUCGAAAGUGCGGGUAUCGAACAGGAUUAGAUACCCUGGUAGUCCGCACGGUAAACGAUGGAUGCCCGCUGUUGGUCUGAAUAGGUCAGCGGCCUAGCGAAAGCAUUAAGCAUCCCACCUGGGGAGUACGCCGGCAACGGUGCAACUCAAAGGAAUUGACGGA